This is a long non-coding RNA of Astatotilapia calliptera (eastern happy), 1788 nucleotides long. NCBI's taxonomy places the organism in Eukaryota, Metazoa, Chordata, Actinopteri, Cichliformes, Cichlidae. The record is from Ensembl.
UGGGUAAAGACGUCUGCAGUAAUUCUAACACAGUAGAGCAACAGGAUUAUCAGUUCUCCACAGCACAACAACAAAGAAAGUUUAGGAGCAGUCACAGAAAAGGCUUCUUCACUCCUCUCUUCACUAAUCUGGACCUUGGGAAAGCGAGGAGCAUUUGGUCCACAGACCUCAUUGAUCUUGCAGGACCAGUUCAAAAGUACAAGUAAAAUGAGCAUAAACAUUUUGACUGCCAUCAUCUUCACUGCAUCCUUUUUCCCCUGGGCCAUCAACAUGACUGAAUAUCCAACAUUCCCCUGUUACAACAAAAGCUCAGAAUACAAAUACAACAAAUUUGUCAAAAAUCACAUCCUCCAUGACAGCUUUGACAGAAAUUCUCUAGAUGCUUGGAAAAGGUAUUUGAAAAAGGAAGGCCUCUGGUGCCGAACUCCAGUGCAGUCCUUCAUCAGUGACAGUGAGUGGAAUGUCGACAGGAUCUGCAGCAGUGAUGGUCGUCGCUUGGCUGACUCAGUUACCUACGCAGGCAACUUGUGUAUCAGCAACUCAGAAAUGCUGAUUUAUGAGGUCACAAUUAAGAAAACCAACAAGGGUCGUAAAAUUAAUGUUACUCGAGCCCAGAGGCCUGUUAUUGUUGCGUGCGAUAAGGUUGGAAACAAGUGCCUCCCAGUUCAUUUUCAGAAAUAUGAGCACCAAACCCCAAGCAAUAUACCCUGCAAUCCUGCAAGAAUUGUCAGUAUUGCAGUAGAAUAGGUUUUCAUUAUCAAACGAAUUAAUCUGUUGCAAAAGUUUCAACUCAUCAUCUUUGAAGGGUGUUAUGCUAUAAUCACUAUGUCCCUUGUUUGUUACAUUCUAAAAAUAACCCACGAUAGGUGAAAUCUGUGAAGUAGUCACCUUUAUUUUAUUUUUACAAAUAUUAUAGAUGUUUUAAGGCUGUAAAACCCCUCACUAUACUUUAUACACUUUUCUCAGACAGGCAUGAACAUUUCUCUCCUUUUUAAACCUACAUGUAUAGUGAGUUCAUUAGAACAAAUUGAAGACUCUCUAGCACAAUUCAUAAUUUAUUCAAAGUCAAAAGUCAAAGUCAAAGUCAUUCAUUGCUGAAAUAAAGAUUAACACAUCUUCCACGUUACCUUCAGAGUAAAAAAAAUGCAUUGCUUAAAUAUCUUAUGUCUUGCCUUCUAUCAGUGUCUGUAAAAUAAAUAUUUUAUUAUUUAUUAAGAAUGAUUAUUCAUUAAUAGCUCUCGACAUUGAGGAUACUUCAAUUUAUAGUUGUGAGUAAAGGAACCAGUCUUAAUUUUUGCCUGCGAUUGAGUUCUUAUUCUAUUAAUUUUUCAUUGUUUUCACACUCAUUCACACAUGUUCCAAUUAAGAAUGAACUAUGAAAAUGUUUCUGUGCUCAGCAAGCAGCUUCACACUGUAUUUAUUAUGUUAAACAGAUUUAUCAUUUCGGUAGUACUUUAUAUUAUAGCUCGAUGAUAAAGUGUUAAUCAAAGAUUAACAAGGCAGAAGAACGUUUUGUAUUAUAUUGUAAGCUUGUAAUGUAUUACCACUCAAUUACCAAAGUAAUAGCCAGGGGGCGUUAUACUGCAGUUUUUUGUUUGCUCUCAAUUUUGACACGCCCUAUUAAAGACUAAUGUCAGUUUGUACAUGCUUUUUUCAAAUUCUUCAACCCUUUAAGACCUACCAUAGAACCAAGUCUGCCAGAGCUUAUCUUUAUAUUUUUACAUGCUGUAGUGCCAUUUUUGGGAGCAUUUCAAGUUGCUAUACAUCAAUACAACCAUUAUAGCCCAA